UACGGAGGGGGCUAGCGUUGUUCGGAAUUACUGGGCGUAAAGCGCACGUAGGCGGACCAUCAAGUUGGGGGUGAAAUCCCGGGGCUCAACCCCGGAACUGCCUCCAAAACUGCUGGUCUGGAGGUCGAGAGAGGUGAGUGGAAUUCCGAGUGUAGGGGUGAAAUUCGUAGAUAUUCGGAGGAACACCAGUGGCGAAGGCGGCUCACUGGCUCGAUACUGACACUGAGGUGCGAAAGCGUGGGGAGCAAACAGG
This 253-nucleotide ribosomal RNA is filed under the name uncultured bacterium. Its description in RNAcentral is "partial 16S ribosomal RNA". It matches the Rfam family "Bacterial small subunit ribosomal RNA", at positions 524 to 776 of the family's 1533-position model. The record is from RNAcentral.